GGACUACUAGGGUAUCUAAUCCUGUUUGCUCCCCAUGCUUUCGCGCCUCAGCGUCAGUUAUAGCCCAGAGAACCGUCUUCACCACCGGUGUUCUUCCACAUAUCUACGCAUUUCACCGCUACACGUGGAAUUCCGUUCUCCCUAACUACACUCUAGCUAGACAGUUUCAAAUGCAGCUCCGGGGUUGAGCCCCGGAAUUUCACAUCUGACUUGUCCUGCCGCCUACGCGCCCUUUACGCCCAGUAAUUCCGAUCAAUGCUUGCACCCUCCGUAUUACCGCGGCUGCUGGCAC
RNAcentral lists this ribosomal RNA (292 nucleotides) under uncultured bacterium. RNAcentral describes it as "partial 16S ribosomal RNA". The record is from RNAcentral.